Schistocephalus solidus is the source of this 83-nucleotide non-coding RNA. The record is from Rfam. NCBI's taxonomy places the organism in Eukaryota, Metazoa, Platyhelminthes, Cestoda, Diphyllobothriidea, Diphyllobothriidae.
GGCCUCGUAGCUCAGUUGCCUAGAUCUUUGGCUGAACUUAAGCCUUACCUUUGCUGGUGUGGGUUCAAAUCCCACCGAGGCCG